Molecule: non-coding RNA, 72 nt
Organism: Phrynosoma platyrhinos (Desert horned lizard)
Lineage: Eukaryota; Metazoa; Chordata; Lepidosauria; Squamata; Phrynosomatidae
Source: the annotation of a GenBank genome assembly
GACAGUGUGGUAUGAUGGUUUGAACAUUGGAGUAUGACUCUGGAGUCCAGGGUUCAAAUCGCUGCUCAGCCA